UUAAAGCAAGCAGAAUUUUAGAUUUUUUGAUUCUUCACUAUGGGCUUUUGGUUUGCCUAUAUUUCCUACACAAUCAAGGUAGUGAAGUUAUACAAUAACAACGUCAGUUAUUUAAGAGUGUAUACAUACGCGACAUAUCAGACAGUAGCGAAAUAAAUUCGAAAUAAAUAAGGGGAAAGAAACUGGACUCUUGGCGAUCUGGGCCUGUUAGGCUUAAUCAGGCUCAAUAUUAUGUGCGCGAAUAGCAACGUGACAGGAAUGCGACAACCCGGAUUUGGCAGUGGACUUGAGUUCCAAACGGUCUCAACGGGCGCAGAUUGAACGCAUGUAUACAAAUAAAAGAGAAUAUUAAUACAUAUCAAUUGUACAAAACUAAGCAAGAUAAAAUUAUAAAUGGUAAUAAAGAGUUGUGGAUUAUAGUGAGGUAGAUUCUAUUUAUGCUAAUCCUAUUAGGAUUAAUAGGAGUUAGUGGUUAAGGGCUUGGUAUAGAUCCUUAUUUGUGGAUGUGACCCCCCUUUGAAUCCUUGGCACUUCAGAGUUCACGAGGGUAUCACGGACCCCGAGCAGUGCUUGUUUCAAGGAGAGGGAUCAUAACUACAACAAGUUUCACAGCAAAAUACCACUAACCACCUACUUCUAGUCUUCCUCAAAGGCUUAAAUAUAAAUAAAAGGAUCAGCAUAAUGAAUUAAUACUACUAAAACACAACAACAGGUACAGGAGCCAUGGGAAACAUUUGAAAGUUCAACACACACACAAAGAUUGGUAACAAUGAACAAACAAGGCACUACAGUUCAUCAUCGAGGCAUAAUAGCAACUAAGGACAUAGUAUUGACUGGGAGGACCAGAACAUGAGAGACGCAAGUGGGCAUGAUUCAUAGUCAAAUAGGGAAACCAAGUUCAAACAGUAAAUAUAUUCAUUUCAUAGGGAAUUUUAGAUUUAAGGUGUUAACAUGCUAAUACUUAAUAGAGAAAAGCUCAAGUACAGAUUCUGUAGAUUCCACUGUAGGUUUAAUAUUUCAGAAUCCUUCUAAGUUCAGAUCAUAAGGACUAUUCUCAGGUAUUUCUAAAGCCUUGGCAUAGUUAACAAUAGGCAUUCAUUACUUAUAACAGUUAUACUAAUGAUGUUUAUUUAGAACUUUCUGAGAGGGCAUGCCAAUUGAUCAGGGUAUCAAAGUCUUUCAACAUGAAAGGAUCAAUCUUACCCAAUCACUAAUGGAUUGAUCAUGCAACAUAUAGGUCAUCAAGAUUUCUGAUUGUCAAACCUUAACAAAUUUCAGAUUGAGUCCCUUCAGGAGAUGAUAUGAUUAGGUAUAAGGCAAUGGGUGAUAACAUUUAUCUUAAUAAGGAAAACAAGUCAUGAUGGUCUGACAUUUGAACAUAUAGGCAAGUUUAUCAGCAUAACAUAUCAACAGGGUUUAAUACCUAAUUUAUAUAUAAGUUAACAUGCCAAACAUGUAAGAAUCGGGACAGAACCAAGUUAUAGUAGAACCUAACAUUAGAGUCAUAUAGAAUAGAUCAUCACAAGAAAAUAGGAACAAAACCCUUAAAGGGAAAAUAACUACAAACAACCAAAUACACCACAACGGUAAAGUCAAAACCAAGGCAAGUAAAAGAGUCAACACAUGGGUGAACAUACAGUCUUUCAAACCAAGAUUAUAGGAUCGUUUAUGAACAUAGCAGGGAUUAACAUGGCAGAUGUAAACUCAGGGACAAAAGAUCCUUAAUAUAGUAGCAGAAAUCUCACAGAAAACUCAAGUAGUCAUGGGAGUGCAAGGGUCAUGUUCAUUACAGGAAUCAAUAGAGAACAAUUUUUCUUACAUACUUGGCAAGGGUCAUUACAUGGUUUCUUCUAUAAUUACAACCUUACAAGAUAGAGCAGACAUGAUUUCAACCACAAAACUGUCAACUAAGGUCUUCAAAGCUGACAGAUCAAAUGCAAGACAUGAGCUGUAAUAAGGAUCAUUUUUGCUUUGAACUAAAACAAUGUGGCAUAACAUCACACACAUAAGGAUUAGUAUAGCACAGUGCAACAAAUGUGAAGUCUUAACAGGAUAUCAGGAGAAGAUUAAGAGUAUAACUAGAUUGAUUUAACUAACAUGGUAGUAUAAUUAUUAUUUAAUAAUAGGGAUGGAACACACACAGGAUCAACAUAAGGUUUUAGCUCAGCUGAUGAUAAAAGGUUCAUCAGGAUUUAUCCACAAGAGUAUGAACAUCAUAGAAAAUAUCUUAUCUAUCUAAGUUAUGGGAGAUGAAACUCAUUAACAAUAUAGAUUGGCUAGCAGUACCAAAAUAACAUAACUUAUCAGGAAAUAAUUAGCCCAACAUUGAAAAUGGCAUACAACAAACAGAACAUGACAAGUACAGUCAUAUACCACUGAUGUAUAUCAUAAGCGAAAGGUGAUUAUCAGAAAAACAACAUCACCAGAUUGCACAAUUAAGAGGUAGAGACAAGGUCAGUAUACACUAACCUUCUGUAAAGCAGCAAACCAAGUAAGAGUUUAUUGCUAGCCAUUUAGGAAUCCAAACCAACAACGAUCCACUCACAGAGAUUGAACUCGAGCAGAAAUGAAAAAAGGAAAAGAGAAAUUAGGGGGAACUACUAGAACUUAAACUUAGUAAGAAAAAAAUUGAGCUUUUAAUUCUUUUAGUGUAUUUUCCGGUGAUGUUAAGUGUGUAUUGACGUCUGUUAGGUAAAAAUAUUUAAGGCCCUAUUUAUAGUGGCCUUUAAGCCUUAGGGUUCCAGCUAAAUUCAAAUUGAUAGUGGGGAGUGACAAUAGGUGGAUGAUGAUAGCAAGCAGGUGAAACUCAGAAGGAAAACAGGGAAAAAUAGUGUAGAAUUUACCUAGGAACGAGGAGGUUGACCGUUGAAGCCAUUGGACCAUCAGUCAAAUCCUAAUGUCUAGAGGUCACUUUAUUUUACCUCUGGACAUCGAAUAAUGAUGACGAAGUUGAAGAUAAUGUUUAUGAAUGCUUCGAUUCAAUGGAACAAAGGCAGGACAGAUGAAAUCCCAGGUUUCACCUUUAGGUCUAGGGCUUCUGGGUUAGCGAUUUGAAUUAAGGUCACGAAAGGGGAAAGUUUUUCAGGCGGGAUUCGAGGUUAGCAGGGACAGAAAGGAUGAUUUGAGGUCGGAUUUGUGACCUUGCAAAAAUUUGUGCAAGGUUUUAGACUGAUGGAGCUGAUGGGGAUGAGAGAAAAGAGAGAGAAUUGGGAAAUGAGGGCAUCCAGGUAGUUGAAAGUGAUUAGGGUUUAGGGAGUCAUCUCUAGGUUAAAAGUGGAACACGGUAUCUGGUCUGUUGGAUCGUUUGAUG
RNAcentral lists this long non-coding RNA (3310 nucleotides) under Nicotiana tabacum (common tobacco). Its description in RNAcentral is "long non-coding RNA (NTAB_LNC009240)". The record is from RNAcentral. Lineage: Eukaryota; Viridiplantae; Streptophyta; Magnoliopsida; Solanales; Solanaceae.